UACGGGGGGGUAAGCGUUGUUCGGAAUUACUGGGCGUAAAGGGCUCGUAGGCGGCCAACUAAGUCGGACGUGAAAUCCCUCAGCUUAACUGGGGAACUGCGUCCGAUACUGGAUGGCUUGGAUUUGGGAGAGGGAUGCGGAAUUCCAGGUGUAGCGGUGAAAUGCGUAGAUAUCUGGAGGAACACCGGUGGCGAAGGCGGCAUCCUGGACCAAUAUUGACGCUGAGGAGCGAAAGCGUGGGGAGCGAAACAGG
RNAcentral lists this ribosomal RNA (253 nucleotides) under uncultured bacterium. Its description in RNAcentral is "partial 16S ribosomal RNA". It matches the Rfam family "Bacterial small subunit ribosomal RNA", at positions 524 to 776 of the family's 1533-position model. The record is from RNAcentral.